Molecule: long non-coding RNA, 1433 nt
Organism: Astatotilapia calliptera (eastern happy)
Lineage: Eukaryota; Metazoa; Chordata; Actinopteri; Cichliformes; Cichlidae
Source: Ensembl
AGGUCACUCAGGUUGAGCUGUAAAGAAUAAAUGCUUUUUGAAUUGUAAUGCUGGCAUCUCGCUGAGGAGCCUUUGAUGAAGGAAAAGCUGCAGCUCUAAACUCUUCAGUAAGUGUGCUGCAGGUCUCUCCUCUGGACCCCAGACUGAAAUGCCCUGGGUUUUCAACAAAACACUUUGAAAAGUGCUGUAGUAAUAAAUUUUGCUUGCUCGCUCAUUCGCUCACUUUGAAAAUUUGCGGAAGCUCUUCUUACUGUGGGUUCAGAAAAUAUGAAUGUAGACUUUGCUAUCUUUUUUUUUCAUUGCUCCUCCACUGCUGGUUGUUUGGACACAAAUCAAAUACAAACAGUCACAGAUUAACGGAUUAACUCACCGCAUAUGGUUAAUAAUUACUGAUUUUUUUUUUUAUCUGAUUGGAGUGUAUGCACUGUAAGUUAACUUAUAAUUGUAUUUUUAGUAAAAGUGAAAAAUUAAGAUUUUUAAUAGAUAUUAUUUUGCUUAUUUUUUGGCCUUUAAUGGAUCAUGAGACAGUGAAGAGAGAGAGGGGGAGACAGAAGAUCAGACUCGAACUCAGGCUACUGCCCUCUGGCCAUGUGGCAUGUAGCCGGCUCACCCACUGAGCUAAACUGCCACCGAUCAUGGUCAUUUCUGACAUCUUUUAAAGGAACAAAGUACAAGCUUUUCAUUUCGUGGAGGCAAACAAGACCAUAUUUCAGUAAAGGGAUGGAGAACUACAAUAUCAACUACUGCCAGGUAGCUUGUUUAGCAACAACAUGGUGAGCUACACAAAAAUUCAACACCUGUAUCAUUGCUGUGAGGUAUAAAAUUAGAUAGGAACAAAAUUGCUUUGUACCAGGUUGUACUUUUUUUUUUUUUUUUCUCCUUUAAUAAUAGUACAUUUUAACGUCUGUGGAGACUGAAUCGCAAUUUAAGCCUCAAGUGGCCACUGGUGGAACUGAACCCUACACACUCUCUAAUAACCCUUACCCAUUAGUACCUACUUGGCUCAGCUCAACUCAGUUCUUAAAUGAAAAUGUGACAUCAGCAGACUGUAUGACACCUGUUGGCCAGUCAGUGGUGCGGCUCCUUCACACAAAUCAAAACCGCCGCUUUAGAGACCUGGGAAUGAGGGAAAUAACUUCAUAAAAGCCAAAGCCGUUGUCACUGAGCCUGAUAAAAGGCCAUUGUACUGUUGCACCCAAUGUGACCCAGUGUCCUAUAUUGAGAUUCACAGCCAGCUAAACUCUCUCUUGCAUCACUUCCUCCAAGGAACAGGCACGUGUUGUAUUUGGACAGGAUUUAAUGCAAAAAAGUGUGAAACUGAAAUGAUACAGAAUACAGAAAUGUCACAUAAACAUUAGCUUGGGUCGAACUUAAGUGGACAUAUAAAACACAUCAAAAGUUUCCAAAUCACUUCAAUAAUGUCAUAUACCCUC